RNAcentral lists this ribosomal RNA (324 nucleotides) under uncultured bacterium. RNAcentral's name for it is "bacterial SSU rRNA". It matches the Rfam family "Bacterial small subunit ribosomal RNA", at positions 28 to 334 of the family's 1533-position model. The record is from RNAcentral.
GACGAGCGCUGGCGGCGUGCUUAACACAUGCAAGUCGAACGGAGCUUCUUGGAUAGAGACUUCGGUCAAUUGAAUUGAAGCUUAGUGGCGGACUGGUGAGUAACGCGUGAGGAACCUGCCUUUCAGAGGGGGACAACAGUUGGAAACGACUGCUAAUACCGCAUGACGCAUGACCGGGGCAUCCCGGACAUGCCAAAGAUUUUAUCGCUGAAAGAUGGCCUCGCGUCUGAUUAGCUAGUUGGUGGGGUAACGGCCCACCAAGGCGACGAUCAGUAGCCGGACUGAGAGGUUGACCGGCCACAUUGGGACUGAGAUACGGCCCAG